GUGGAUUAGAUACCCUGGUAGUCCACGCCGUAAACGAUGAUCACUCGCUGUUUGCGAUAUACAGCAAGCGGCUGAGCGAAAGCAUUAAGUGAUCCACCUGGGGAGUACGAUCGCAAGGUUGAAACUCAAAGGAAUUGACGGGGGCCCGCACAAGCGGAGGAACAUGUGGUUUAAUUCGAUGAUACGCGAGGAACCUUACCUGGGCUUAAAUGUAGGCUGCAUUCGGCUGAAAGGCUGAUUCCCUUCGGGGCUGCUUACAAGGUGCUGCACGGCCGUCGCCAACU
RNAcentral lists this ribosomal RNA (284 nucleotides) under uncultured bacterium. RNAcentral describes it as "partial 16S ribosomal RNA". It matches the Rfam family "Bacterial small subunit ribosomal RNA", at positions 773 to 1060 of the family's 1533-position model. The record is from RNAcentral.